UACGUAGGGCGCAAGCGUUAUCCGGAAUUAUUGGGCGUAAAGAGCUCGUAGGCGGUUUGUCGCGUCUGCCGUGAAAGUCCGGGGCUCAACUCCGGAUCUGCGGUGGGUACGGGCAGACUAGAGUGCGGUAGGGGAGAUUGGAAUUCCUGGUGUAGCGGUGGAAUGCGCAGAUAUCAGGAGGAACACCAACGGCGAAAGCACUCUGCUGGGCCGACACUGACACUGAGAGACGAAAGCUAGGGGAGCGAAUGGG
This 253-nucleotide ribosomal RNA is filed under the name uncultured bacterium. RNAcentral's name for it is "partial 16S ribosomal RNA". It matches the Rfam family "Bacterial small subunit ribosomal RNA", at positions 524 to 776 of the family's 1533-position model. The record is from RNAcentral.